This 468-nucleotide ribosomal RNA is filed under the name uncultured bacterium. RNAcentral describes it as "partial 16S ribosomal RNA". It matches the Rfam family "Bacterial small subunit ribosomal RNA", at positions 28 to 507 of the family's 1533-position model. The record is from RNAcentral.
GACGAACGCUGGCGGCGUGCUUAACACAUGCAAGUCGAACGGAAAGGCCCUGCUCUUGCGGGGUGCUCGAGUGGCGAACGGGUGAGUAACACGUGAGUAACCUGCCCUUGACUUUGGGAUAACUUCAGGAAACUGGGGCUAAUACCGGAUAGGAGCUCCUGCUGCAUGGUGGGGGUUGGAAAGUUUCGGCGGUUGGGGAUGGACUCGCGGCUUAUCAGCUUGUUGGUGGGGUAGUGGCUUACCAAGGCUUUGACGGGUAGCCGGCCUGAGAGGGUGACCAGCCACAUUAGGACUGAGGUACGGCCCAGACGCCUACGGGAGGCAGCGGUGGGGAGUAUGGCAGAGUAGGCGGGAGCCUGAUGCGGCAGCGCCGCGUGCGUGAUGACGGCCUUCGGGUUGUGAACCGCUUUCGCCGGAGACGAAGCGGGAGUGACGGUAAUGGGUAAAGAAGCACCGGCUAACUACGUG